CCGAGUUAGGGUCUUUCAGGCCCGACCUCCAACCCUUUGUUAACUAAACCAUGUUGCUUCGGCGAGCCCGCCUUUACAGGCCGCCGGGGGGCCUCAGCGCCCCCUGGCCCGUGCGCGCCGGUGGCCAUAACCAAAACUCUUGAUAAACCAUGUCGUCUGAGUCUAAAUCAUAAUUAAACA
Molecule: unclassified non-coding RNA, 180 nt
Filed under: uncultured Chaetothyriales
Lineage: Eukaryota; Fungi; Ascomycota; Eurotiomycetes; Chaetothyriales
Description: sequence contains ITS1
Source: RNAcentral